RNAcentral lists this ribosomal RNA (460 nucleotides) under uncultured bacterium. RNAcentral's name for it is "partial 16S ribosomal RNA". It matches the Rfam family "Bacterial small subunit ribosomal RNA", at positions 338 to 795 of the family's 1533-position model. The record is from RNAcentral.
CCUACGGGCGGCAGCAGUGAGGAAUAUUGGUCAAUGGACGAGAGUCUGAACCAGCCAAGUAGCGUGAAGGAUGACUGCCCUAUGGGUUGUAAACUUCUUUUAUAUGGGAAUAAAAUGUUCCACGUGUGGGAUUUUGUAUGUACCAUAUGAAUAAGGAUCGGCUAACUCCGUGCCAGCAGCCGCGGUAAUACGGAGGAUCCGAGCGUUAUCCGGAUUUAUUGGGUUUAAAGGGAGCGUAGGUGGAUUGUUAAGUCAGUUGUGAAAGUUUGCGGCUCAACCGUGAAAUUGCAGUUGAAACUGGCAGUCUUGAGUACAGUAGAGGUGGGCGGAAUGCAUGGUGUAGCGGUGAAAUGCUUAGAUAUCACGAAGAACUCCGAUUGCGAAGGCAGUUCACUGGACUGCAACUGACACUGAGGCUCGAAAGUGUGGGUAUCAAACAGGAUUAGAUACCCGGGUAGUC